Molecule: ribosomal RNA, 1467 nt
Filed under: Leuconostoc mesenteroides subsp. mesenteroides
Lineage: Bacteria; Bacillati; Bacillota; Bacilli; Lactobacillales; Lactobacillaceae
Description: bacterial SSU rRNA
Rfam family: Bacterial small subunit ribosomal RNA
Source: RNAcentral
CUGGCGGCGUGCCUAAUACAUGCAAGUCGAACGCACAGCGAAAGGUGCUUGCACCUUUCAAGUGAGUGGCGAACGGGUGAGUAACACGUGGACAACCUGCCUCAAGGCUGGGGAUAACAUUUGGAAACAGAUGCUAAUACCGAAUAAAACUUAGUGUCGCAUGACACAAAGUUAAAAGGCGCUUCGGCGUCACCUAGAGAUGGAUCCGCGGUGCAUUAGUUAGUUGGUGGGGUAAAGGCCUACCAAGACAAUGAUGCAUAGCCGAGUUGAGAGACUGAUCGGCCACAUUGGGACUGAGACACGGCCCAAACUCCUACGGGAGGCUGCAGUAGGGAAUCUUCCACAAUGGGCGAAAGCCUGAUGGAGCAACGCCGCGUGUGUGAUGAAGGCUUUCGGGUCGUAAAGCACUGUUGUAUGGGAAGAACAGCUAGAAUAGGAAAUGAUUUUAGUUUGACGGUACCAUACCAGAAAGGGACGGCUAAAUACGUGCCAGCAGCCGCGGUAAUACGUAUGUCCCGAGCGUUAUCCGGAUUUAUUGGGCGUAAAGCGAGCGCAGACGGUUUAUUAAGUCUGAUGUGAAAGCCCGGAGCUCAACUCCGGAAUGGCAUUGGAAACUGGUUAACUUGAGUGCAGUAGAGGUAAGUGGAACUCCAUGUGUAGCGGUGGAAUGCGUAGAUAUAUGGAAGAACACCAGUGGCGAAGGCGGCUUACUGGACUGCAACUGACGUUGAGGCUCGAAAGUGUGGGUAGCAAACAGGAUUAGAUACCCUGGUAGUCCACACCGUAAACGAUGAACACUAGGUGUUAGGAGGUUUCCGCCUCUUAGUGCCGAAGCUAACGCAUUAAGUGUUCCGCCUGGGGAGUACGACCGCAAGGUUGAAACUCAAAGGAAUUGACGGGGACCCGCACAAGCGGUGGAGCAUGUGGUUUAAUUCGAAGCAACGCGAAGAACCUUACCAGGUCUUGACAUCCUUUGAAGCUUUUAGAGAUAGAAGUGUUCUCUUCGGAGACAAAGUGACAGGUGGUGCAUGGUCGUCGUCAGCUCGUGUCGUGAGAUGUUGGGUUAAGUCCCGCAACGAGCGCAACCCUUAUUGUUAGUUGCCAGCAUUCAGAUGGGCACUCUAGCGAGACUGCCGGUGACAAACCGGAGGAAGGCGGGGACGACGUCAGAUCAUCAUGCCCCUUAUGACCUGGGCUACACACGUGCUACAAUGGCGUAUACAACGAGUUGCCAACCCGCGAGGGUGAGCUAAUCUCUUAAAGUACGUCUCAGUUCGGAUUGUAGUCUGCAACUCGACUACAUGAAGUCGGAAUCGCUAGUAAUCGCGGAUCAGCACGCCGCGGUGAAUACGUUCCCGGGUCUUGUACACACCGCCCGUCACACCAUGGGAGUUUGUAAUGCCCAAAGCCGGUGGCCUAACCUUUUAGGAAGGAGCCGUCUAAGGCAGGACAGAUGACUGGGGUGAA